CGGGGGGGUGUGCUAGCGGCGAACGGGUGAGUAACACGUGGGCAACCUGCCCCCGGCUCUGGGAUAACUCCAAGAAAUUGGGGCUAAUACCGGAUAUGACCGCUGACCGCAUGGUCUGGUGGUGGAAAGAUUUAUCGGCUGGGGAUGGGCCCGCGGCCUAUCAGCUUGUUGGUGGGGUAGUGGCCUACCAAGGCGACGACGGGUAGCCGGCCUGAGAGGGUGACCGGCCACACUGGGACUGAGACACGGCCCAGACUCCUACGGGAGGCAGCAGUGGGGAAUAUUGCGCAAUGGGCGGAAGCCUGACGCAGCGACGCCGCGUGGGGGAUGACGGCCUUCGGGUUGUAAACCUCUUUCAGCAGGGACGAAGCGCAAGUGACGGUACCUGCAGAAGAAGCACCGGCCAACUACGUGCCAGCAGCCGCGGUAAUACGUAGGGUGCAAGCGUUGUCCGGAAUUAUUGGGCGUAAAGAGCUCGUAGGCGGUUUGUUGCGUCGGCUGUGAAAUCCCGAGGCUCAACCUCGGGUCUGCAGUCGAUACGAGCAAACUAGAGUGUUGCAGGGGAGACUGGAAUUCCUGGUGUAGCGGUGAAAUGCGCAGAUAUCAGGAGGAACACCGGUGGCGAAGGCGGGUCUCUGGGCAACAACUGACGCUGAGGAGCGAAAGCGUGGGGAGCGAACAGGAUUAGAUACCCUGGUAGUCCACGCCGUAAACGUUGGGCGCUAGGUGUGGGGCUCAUUCCACGAGUUCCGUGCCGCAGCUAACGCAUUAAGCGCCCCGCCUGGGGAGUACGGCCGCAAGGCUAAAACUCAAAGGAAUUGACGGGGG
RNAcentral lists this ribosomal RNA (828 nucleotides) under Blastococcus sp. CB 286509. RNAcentral describes it as "bacterial SSU rRNA". It matches the Rfam family "Bacterial small subunit ribosomal RNA", at positions 80 to 919 of the family's 1533-position model. Lineage: Bacteria; Bacillati; Actinomycetota; Actinomycetes; Geodermatophilales; Geodermatophilaceae. The record is from RNAcentral.